RNAcentral lists this ribosomal RNA (313 nucleotides) under uncultured bacterium. Its description in RNAcentral is "partial 16S ribosomal RNA". It matches the Rfam family "Bacterial small subunit ribosomal RNA", at positions 355 to 660 of the family's 1533-position model. The record is from RNAcentral.
UAGGGAAUCUUCGGCAAUGGACGAAAGUCUGACCGAGCAGCGCCGCGUGAGUGAAGAAGGUUUUCGGAUCGUAAAACUCUGUUGGUAGAGAAGAACGUUGGUGAGAGUGGAAAGCUCAUCAAGUGACGGUAACUACCCAGAAAGGGACGGCUAACUACGUGCCAGCAGCCGCGGUAAUACGUAGGUCCCGAGCGUUGUCCGGAUUUAUUGGGCGUAAAGCGAGCGCAGGUGGUUUAUUAAGUCUGGUGUAAAAGGCAGUGGCUCAACCAUUGUAUGCAUUGGAAACUGGUAGACUUGAGUGCAGGAGAGGAGA